This 950-nucleotide ribosomal RNA is filed under the name uncultured Pseudomonas sp. Its description in RNAcentral is "bacterial SSU rRNA". It matches the Rfam family "Bacterial small subunit ribosomal RNA", at positions 8 to 953 of the family's 1533-position model. Lineage: Bacteria; Pseudomonadati; Pseudomonadota; Gammaproteobacteria; Pseudomonadales; Pseudomonadaceae. The record is from RNAcentral.
AGAGUUUGAUUAUGGCUCAGAUUGAACGCUGGCGGCAGGCCUAACACAUGCAAGUCGAGCGGUAGAGAGGUGCUUGCACCUCUUGAGAGCGGCGGACGGGUGAGUAAUGCCUAGGAAUCUGCCUGGUAGUGGGGGAUAACGCUCGGAAACGGACGCUAAUACCGCAUACGUCCUACGGGAGAAAGCAGGGGACCUUCGGGCCUUGCGCUAUCAGAUGAGCCUAGGUCGGAUUAGCUAGUUGGUGGGGUAAUGGCUCACCAAGGCGACGAUCCGUAACUGGUCUGAGAGGAUGAUCAGUCACACUGGAACUGAGACACGGUCCAGACUCCUACGGGAGGCAGCAGUGGGGAAUAUUGGACAAUGGGCGAAAGCCUGAUCCAGCCAUGCCGCGUGUGUGAAGAAGGUCUUCGGAUUGUAAAGCACUUUAAGUUGGGAGGAAGGGCAUUAACCUAAUACGUUAGUGUUUUGACGUUACCGACAGAAUAAGCACCGGCUAACUCUGUGCCAGCAGCCGCGGUAAUACAGAGGGUGCAAGCGUUAAUCGGAAUUACUGGGCGUAAAGCGCGCGUAGGUGGUUCGUUAAGUUGGAUGUGAAAUCCCCGGGCUCAACCUGGGAACUGCAUUCAAAACUGUCGAGCUAGAGUAUGGUAGAGGGUGGUGGAAUUUCCUGUGUAGCGGUGAAAUGCGUAGAUAUAGGAAGGAACACCAGUGGCGAAGGCGACCACCUGGACUGAUACUGACACUGAGGUGCGAAAGCGUGGGGAGCAAACAGGAUUAGAUACCCUGGUAGUCCACGCCGUAAACGAUGUCAACUAGCCGUUGGGAGCCUUGAGCUCUUAGUGGCGCAGCUAACGCAUUAAGUUGACCGCCUGGGGAGUACGGCCGCAAGGUUAAAACUCAAAUGAAUUGACGGGGGCCCGCACAAGCGGUGGAGCAUGUGGUUUAAUUCG